GCCCCCAUAGUUCAGUGGAUAGAAUGUUUCCUUGCGGAGGAAAUGAUUCCGGUUCGAGUCCGGAUGGGGGCA
RNAcentral lists this transfer RNA (72 nucleotides) under Candidatus Pacearchaeota archaeon CG1_02_31_27. RNAcentral's name for it is "tRNA-Arg". It matches the Rfam family "tRNA". Rfam says of the family: Transfer RNA (tRNA) molecules are approximately 80 nucleotides in length. Their secondary structure includes four short double-helical elements and three loops (D, anti-codon, and T loops). RNAcentral also lists the same sequence under 3 other names. The record is from RNAcentral. Lineage: Archaea; Nanobdellati.